Molecule: ribosomal RNA, 492 nt
Filed under: uncultured bacterium
Lineage: Bacteria
Description: partial 16S ribosomal RNA
Rfam family: Bacterial small subunit ribosomal RNA
Source: RNAcentral
AGUGAACGCUGGCGGUAGGCCUAACACAUGCAAGUCGAACGGCAGCACAGUAAGAGCUUGCUCUUACGGGUGGCGAGUGGCGGACGGGUGAGGAAUACAUCGGAAUCUACUUUUUCGUGGGGGAUAACGUAGGGAAACUUACGCUAAUACCGCAUACGACCUACGGGUGAAAGCAGGGGAUCUUCGGACCUUGCGCGAAUGAAUGAGCCGAUGUCGGAUUAGCUAGUUGGCGGGGUAAAGGCCCACCAAGGCGACGAUCCGUAGCUGGUCUGAGAGGCUGAUCAGCCACAUUGGAACUUAGACACGGUCCAUACUCCUACGGUAGGCACCAGUGGGGAAUAUUGGACAAUGGGCGCAAGCCUGAUCCAGCCAUCCCGCGUGGGUGAAGAAGGCCUUCGGGUUGUAAAGCCCUUUUUUUGGGAAAGAAAAGCAGCAGGUUAAUACCCCGCUGUUCUGACGGUACCCAAAGAAUAAGCACCGGCUAACUUCGUG